UAAUAAGUGGCCAGGGGAGACUCUCAG
Molecule: non-coding RNA, 27 nt
Filed under: Mus musculus (house mouse)
Lineage: Eukaryota; Metazoa; Chordata; Mammalia; Rodentia; Muridae
Source: RNAcentral